CUCCUAGGAGACCCGGAGACCGCUGGUGAUUUUUUUUGUCUUCUCUCAUAAACUACAAUUCGUUUUUAUUAGGCAAGACUAGCAUUAUGUACCUUUUUUUUUUUUUAAUUAUAAACAAAGCAGUUACUGAGCACGUAGGGUUUUUUGUCCAGUUGUGGGUUAAAAGUCUGUGGCUGGCUGUACAUGGGAUUCAUGGUUAAUUCUGAAAACCAGGAAUCACAGUUUAGAAGAGUACAGCCGAUACCCUCUUACCUAUCAAUUCCCCUCCAAGAAGCCAUCCCUUGGAAAUAUGAGCCCAAGUACAUAAAGAAAUAUGUGCCAGGGUGGCAGCACUAUUUUGCAUUCCCACCAGCAGAGUAGAAGAGUUCCCUUUCUCCACAUCCCUGCCAACAUUUAUCAUCCUUUGGAGUUUUUGAUAACAGCCAUUCUGACAGGAAUGGAAACAAGUGAAUACAAGUAUCCUGCCCAGGGAGCAUGCUGUUUGGAGUCUGAUCACUGUAUUUGAACCUCGGAUCCACCACAGCUUCCGCGUCUAUAAAGUGAACAUCACAAUGAAGCAUCGAUCUCACAGAGCCGCGGUGGGGAUGGAAUGGAAUCACCCACGGAAAGCAUUUAGUGCAGUGACGUGUUUAAAACGUUCGCUGUUUUUAUUAUUAGACAGCUGCCAACUGACACAUGGAUUGAGCUCCAAAGGCUCAUUUUCCAUUCAGCUCUUUGAACUCAGAACGUAUUUGCCCACAUAAAGAAUAUUGAGCAUUUGAUGUGAUGACCCAUGAAUACUACCUAGUGUGGCUGAUGGAGCAUCAGCCUGGAUUUGCAUCCAGAAGAGAGGGUGGGGGUGGGUGGGGCUGCUGCAGCGUGGGAAGGUACGUACCCCAGGGAUGUCCUCCUCAGGGUGCUGAGUGCAAGAGCCCUCACGCCGCCUCCAGCUCCUGCUCUCCUGCAGGUUUUCUGCCUCAAUAUGAUUUCCUUCCUGCCGGGGUAAUGAAAUAUUCAGGGCCUCUGGCAGUUGGCCAGACCUUAAAAAAAUAAACACCCCUCUCCUUCCCAUCACCUUUCCCCUCUGCGCCCCAUGGCUGGGGAUCCCAUUUCCUUGGUAGCUGGCCUAGGGAGGCAACCACUAAUUUAUGGUGAUAGGUGAAUGCCCCCAAUCCCUUCCCCUUCCCAAAGUUGUUGACAUUUUUAAAGAAAUGGAAUCUAGAAUUUUAGGUGGUGACACAGAGAGCGAGCCCAGAAUCUGUGUCACUGGGACACUUAGCAUGCCCUUCCUACAACAUUGUUUUGCAGCCCCUCUGACAGGAUCAACUUGAUCCUCACCUCCGUUUCCUUCAUAACACCUUGGCCGAUGGUACCUGGAAGCUGACCAGCUGGCCCCUGGGGAUCCUCUCCCCUGAGCAGGCCUCACUGUCCUCUUCACCUCUUUCCUUCUCCCAUUACCCCCCCCACUUUUUUUAAAGGUAUUUAUUUAUUUAUUUAUUUAUUUAUUUAUUUAUUUAUUUAUUCAUCCAUGAGAGACAUACUCAGAGAGAGGCAAAGACGCAGCAGAGGGAGAAGUAGGGUCCUUGCGGGGACCCCGAUGUGGGACUCGAUCCCAGGACCCUGGGAUCACACCCUGACCUGAAGGCAGAUGCUCAGCCGCUGAGCCACCCAGGUGCCCCUCUCCUAUUCCUUAAAGCAGUUUUCCCAGAGCCCCUGCAGUUUUUCAGAUUGCUGCAAGGUAGAAAGACUCUGGCAGACCCUGGGACCCCUGACGGGGUCUGUGCAUCGUCAGUGGCUGAGCCCGGGAUUGCCCAUUAUCUGUGGGACACAGGAAUACAUUCAAGCCAGUGACAGAAUGUGUGGGUUAUGGAUAACUGAUGACUUGGGUACUUGUAUUGUCUAAGCCCCGAAUUGGGACACGCAAUCUGACAAGAACAAAUAAAUUUACGGGGACAAUGGGGCCGAAUCAUUGAAACUGGGAUACGGGCCAAAGAGAUGGCAGCUGAAAGAGCUGGGCAAUGGCUGGCAAGGGCGGGUGGCAGCGCAGUGGGCAGGACUGUGACAUUUCUGAUCCCACGUCUAGACAGACACAGGGAUGGGCGACCCAGUCGUGCCUCGUGCCCCUUCCAAACAUAACAGAGAAUUAGUUCGUCUUUUUUUUUUUUUAAUUUUUAUUUAUUUAUGAUAGUCACACAGAGAGAGGGAGAGAGAGAGGCAGAGACACAGGCAGAGGGAGAAGCAGGCUCCAUGCACCGGGAGCCCGACGUGGGAUUCGAUCCCGGGUCUCCAGGAUCGCGCCCUGGGCCAAAGGCAGGCGCCAAACCGCUGCGCCACCCAGGGAUCCCUAGUUCGUCUUUUUAAUGGUGGUGGAACUGUGACCAGUGCGUGGUCCUCUCUGAUUAGCUCCUGGCCAAUCUUUCUAACUGCUUCUUGAGCAUGUUUCCCCGGACGUCCUAGAAGUGCCUCAACAUGAUCCUGCUCAUCCUUCUCUGGGUUCAGGUCAUGGCUUCACCAUGCGCAGAGCCAUCUGAGCUAAAAAUAACAAUGAAUUUCAUCUUCCUCCUCCUCACUUAUUAUUAUUAUAUUAUUUUUAACCUAAUUAUUAUUCCCUGAGACCUUUUGUUUCUACCUCAGAAAUAUCUCGUUUAUCCCCUAGUGCCAUAAAGAUCCUCUAUUGAGACUACCUUGGUGGUUUCCUUUUUUUCUUUUUUUUAAAGAUAUAUUUAUUUAUCUAUUUAUUUGAGAGAGAGAGAGAGAAAGAGAUAGAGCACAAGUGAGGAAGAGAGGGAUAAGCAGGCUCCCUACUGAGCAGGGAGCUGGGAGCUGGACAUGGGGCUCAAUCCCAGGACCCUAAGAUCAUGACUUGAGCUGAAGGCAGAUGCUUAACCAACUGAGCCACCCAGGCAUCCCCCUCUGUGGUUUCAUAAAUAAUUUCCUGUUUUCCCCACCUCUUUGAGCCACACACAUAUCCCUCCCUCCUAAAAAACCUUUGCCUGUUCAUUGUCUAGAAUAAAGUACAUGUGUCAUAGGAUAGCAUCGAAGAUUUUUCCCAACAUGGUUUCAAACCUUCUUUCCAAUUUCAUCUCAGUCAAUGCAUCCUGUGAUCCCUCACCCUGGACUACUAGCCAUUUCCUGAAAUAAGCUUCUCUGCCUCUGCAAAUGCUACUCUUCUCUUCCCAGUUUCGUUAUUUUAUUUUUAAUUAUUUUUCCCUCAGUGGAGCUCAUCCUAGUUCUUCUAAGCAGUAUUAACUGUUCUCAGGGCACCUGGGUGGCUCAGUGGUUGAGCACAUGUCUCCCUUGGGCUCAGGGCAUCGUCCCAGGGUCUGGGAUCAAGUCCUGCACUGGGCUCCCUGCAGAGAGCCUGUUUCUCCCUUUACCUGUGUCUCUUCCUUUCUCUCUGUGUCUCUUGUGAAUAAAUAAAUCUUUUUUAAAAAAAGAAUUGUUCUGUCCCUGUUGCUCCCUAAAAUGUCCCCCCUCUGUCCUCUCAUGUUAACAGACCCACUUGUGCACACAUCAUCCUCUAUGCACCCUUGUGGCUGUUCAUCUUUAGACCCCAAUCCCAGCAUUUAAAAGGGACUUAAUAAAUGUCUAUAAAAUGUGUUGAAAAUCUUUUACUUUGGCAGAGAGCAACUGCAUCUUGGGGACACCUUCUUUCAUAUCUGUGAAGUUUGGGCCAGAAUCUGCCACCCCCGAAAUAUGCCACGUUGGCUUACAAUUAUUUUGAGCUGAAGGUGAUUAGGUAGCAGCAGCUGCAGGAGGAACUCUUUGCUAUCUCCCUUUCUGCUUAAAAGCAGGACAUAAAUUUCCUUCUGUGCAGGUGUCCCCCCUGCCUGCCCCCCACCCCUCUCCUGACUCAAGAGGAAUGGAGCAACCCAAUCCCAGGAGACAGAAAGUCAGCACUGAGAUGAAUCUGCCUAAACAAACCUUACUAAAUAAUCCUUGUUUUCCAUUAAUUUCUCGGUAUAUUUACCUUCCCAUAAUUGACUGCCCAGAGAGGCCCAAACCUCUUUUAUUCAUCUUGUCACUUUCCCCCAUUUAUUGCCUUCUGUUAACAUGGUAUAUAAGCUCUCAGGCCUAAUUGGUUUUUAGGGUUUUCACUUCUUUUUUUGGUGAGGCUCCUUGUGUGUAUAUGAAACAAACCUUUCUCCUGUUCAUCGUCUUCUGUCCAUUUAAUUCAUGUGUCUCAGUCACAAACCUAAGAGGGUGGAGGAACCAUUUUUUUCUCUCCCCUACACUUCCAGCCGGGCAAACAAAUAUUGACAUACACGGUUCUCUUGUCCCUUACUUCCUGCCUCAGGGUACAAUCCUCCCUUCUAGCCAUGUGGCCCUUUUUAAUGCCUGGUUGGGGGGCAGCUCCUUGGGGCUCCAAACUCCCCAGUGUGGGCCCCAUGUCCUCUCACUUGCCCUUCACUGUGUUCUGACCAUUGUCUCUCAAAGAUGAUUCACUUCGUGCUGAUUCCUACUCAGCAAUUAUGGAUAACAGGUUGAUCUCAAGAUAACCGCAUUGCCAUGGUGGGCUCUUGGAGAACUCAUUUCUUGACUAAAACCUGCAAAGAAUGGUGACGCUGGAGCGCUAUGGCCAGGCUAGAGGACCAGAUGGUCUGCAUUUGGGAGGGGAGAGAUAAGGGUGAGUUCAGGGGCAAGAGAGGUGAGGGACAGAGUGGUGGUUCUCAGGGAGGCUCAGGCAAGUCAAGCAGCAACCACAAAGGUGAGCUGCGGGGAGUCCAGCCUGGAAGCUUUGCCAAGUGAGUCUUGAAGGUGGAAACUGGGGAGGGACUCUUGAAGCAGAAGCUCAGGAAACCGUCUGUAGUGGGAGAGAGUAUGUCCUAUUGGGCCGAGUAUGUCGGAUCUUUGCGGAUGGUGCAUGGUAGAAGGGGGUGCGGGGUGCAUCUGUUCUCCAAGUGGGUGGCUGCCUUCAGGCCAGUCGGUACACAAAUCCAUGAAGUGGCCAAAUACUGGCCAGUUAAAUGGGCUUGUUAAGGGGAAAUUCACUCCGUAUCCAUGAGGAGGUGACUCUCAUUUGAGUAGACACUGUCAGGUUUGGUUAUGGUUCUCAGGCAGAAGACCCCUGCCCCUCCUUUACUUCAUGUAACAAAAAGUGAGUUAUUUUUCUUUUGGGGAGUGUUUAAUGAAAAUGGUGCUUGAGUGAAGGGUGGCUGGGUGGCUCAGUCACUUAAGUGUGAUCUCAGUUUUGGCUCAGAUCAUGAUGUGGGAUCAAGCUCUGAGCACAGUGCGGAGUCUACUUGGGAUUAUUUUCCCCUCCCCCCUCUCUCCCCCUCUGCUCUCCCGUCCCUCUCCCUCUGCUCAAGCUCUCUCUAAGCUAACUAAAUAAAUAAAAUCUGGGAUCCCUGGGUGGCGCAGCGGUUUGGCGCCUGCCUUCGGCCCAGGGCGCAAUCCUGGAGACCCAGGAUCGAAUCCCACGUCGGGCUCCCGGUGCAUGGAGCCUGCUUCUCCCUCUGCCUGUGUCUCUGCCUCUCUCUCUCUCUGUGACUAUCAUUAAAAAAAAAAAAAAA
Molecule: long non-coding RNA, 5492 nt
Filed under: Canis lupus familiaris (dog)
Lineage: Eukaryota; Metazoa; Chordata; Mammalia; Carnivora; Canidae
Description: lncRNA (ENSCAFG00845011745.1)
Source: RNAcentral